Long non-coding RNA from Momordica charantia (bitter melon), 998 nucleotides. RefSeq lists it as uncharacterized. Lineage: Eukaryota; Viridiplantae; Streptophyta; Magnoliopsida; Cucurbitales; Cucurbitaceae. The record is from RefSeq and is a predicted model, not a curated record.
GAUAUGGCAAUGGAGAUUGUUUACCACCUCCCUCAAAGGCUUCCAAUAUUCUUUACAUUUUGCAAUGAGAAUACCAAAGUAUGGAAUGUUGGAAGCCCACGAGGGAGGUUGAAAAAUUUCCUCCCUUUGUGUUAAAAGAAAAAAAUGAUAGCUAAAUUUUCGAUGGUAGCUGUCAUCUCGAUCAUAAUUUUGGUUAUAGUAGAAGAUUGUAUAGUUAACUUUAAGUUUUUCUUACGUGCAUUUUGCUUGUUUAUAGUUAACUUCGAGUCUUUCUUACGUGCAUUCUGCUUGUUUUGAUUCUUUAGAUGUUGGAGAAACCCUCUAAGGAAGACUCAAAUCUAAGCAUGCAUUUCUUUUAUCCUUUCAUGCCUCAUAUUUUUCAUUAYGUGUUGUGCGAUGAAAAUUCCCAAAUCAGUUAGAAUGGGGAAAAUCAUAAGCUCUGUCUAUUUUUGAUUUUCUGACAGAUUCCAAGGRUAAAACUAACGUUGACUUAACUUUCAAAUGGAUUAUGAAGAUAUAUUUUUAUUUCUCAUCGACUUCGUAAAACAAAAGAUGAGAUGAUGUUGAAAAUCAAAGUUUUUGGUCUAAAUUAAUUAUAUAUGAUGCCAAAGAUGUGCUUGUUUGUUUGUAAAAUUUUCAGGUUGAUUAGCCAUGGAGAUUGAUGGAUCACUUUAUGUAGGAAGCAUUUUUGGACUUCUUCUUAGGUCCUAUAGAACUUGUAUAAGCGAGGUAGUGAUUGAAGAGAUCUAGAGGACGCAUGAAGUUGAUUUCAUUUAUUAUGGACUAAGUUAGAGACGAGGUCACGUUGUUGCCCAUGAGCUUGCAUGUCGUGCUAGAAGAAACAAAUGUUCGUAAAUCUGGCCAGAGGACCACCCACUAAAAGAUGCUUUCUCCUUCUUAUUUUGUUCUGAAUUUUAAUGUUUGUACAAAAAAUAUACAUUACAAACCAUAGAUGUAAGUAGUUGAUGCAUAAUUUGGAUUCAUUUCUAAUGUCAAAC